UACGUAGGGGGCUAGCGUUGUCCGGAAUCAUUGGGCGUAAAGCGCGUGUAGGCGGUCCGGUAAGUCCGCUGUGAAAGUCGGGGGCUCAACCCUCGAAUGCCGGUGGAUACUGUCGGGCUAGAGUACGGAAGAGGCGAGUGGAAUUCCUGGUGUAGCGGUGAAACGCGCAGAUAUCAGGAGGAACACCGAUGGCGAAGGCAGGUCUCUGGGCCACUACUGACGCUGAGAAGCGAAAGCAUGGGGAGCGAACAGG
This 253-nucleotide ribosomal RNA is filed under the name uncultured bacterium. Its description in RNAcentral is "partial 16S ribosomal RNA". It matches the Rfam family "Bacterial small subunit ribosomal RNA", at positions 524 to 776 of the family's 1533-position model. The record is from RNAcentral.